AUUGAACGCUGGCGGCGUGCUUAACACAUGCAAGUCGAACGCGAAAGGGACUUCGGUCCUGAGUAAAGUGGCGCACGGUGAGUAACGCGUGGAUAAUCUGCCCUUAUGAUUGGAAUAACAGUUGGAAACGGCUGCUAAUACCGGAUACGCUCAAAAUGAACUUUUGAGGAAAGAUGGCCUCUGCUUGCAUGCUAUCGCAUAAGGAUGAGUCCGCGUCCCAUUAGCUUGUUGGCGGGGUAACGGCCCACCAAGGCAACGAUGGGUAGCCGAUUUGAGAGGAUGAUCGGCCACACUGGAACUGAAACACGGUCCAGACUCCUACGGGAGGCAGCAGUGGGGAAUAUUGCGCAAUGGGCGAAAGCCUGACGCAGCGACGCCGCGUGAGGGAUGAAGGUUUUCGGAUCGUAAACCUCUGUCAGAAGGGAAGAAACUACGUUGUGCUAAUCAGCAGCGUACUGACGGUACCUUCAAAGGAAGCACCGGCUAACUCCGUGCCAG
Molecule: ribosomal RNA, 498 nt
Filed under: uncultured bacterium
Lineage: Bacteria
Description: bacterial SSU rRNA
Rfam family: Bacterial small subunit ribosomal RNA
Source: RNAcentral